UACGUAGGGUGCGAGCGUUAAUCGGAAUUACUGGGCGUAAAGCGUGCGCAGGCGGUUGUGUAAGACAGGUGUGAAAUCCCCCGGGCUUAACCUGGGAACUGCGCUUGUGACUGCACGGCUAGAGUACGGCAGAGGGGGGUGGAAUUCCACGUGUAGCAGUGAAAUGCGUAGAUAUGUGGAGGAACACCGAUGGCGAAGGCAGCCCCCUGGGCCGAUACUGACGCUCAUGCACGAAAGCGUGGGGAGCAAACAGG
Molecule: ribosomal RNA, 254 nt
Filed under: uncultured bacterium
Lineage: Bacteria
Description: partial 16S ribosomal RNA
Rfam family: Bacterial small subunit ribosomal RNA
Source: RNAcentral